GCCUGGGUGGCUUAGUCGGUUAAGCAUCUGCCUUCCACUCAGGUCAUGAUUCUAGGAUCCUGGGAUCAAGCCCCAGAUUGGGCU
RNAcentral lists this transfer RNA (84 nucleotides) under Mustela putorius furo (domestic ferret). It matches the Rfam family "tRNA". From Rfam's summary of the family: Transfer RNA (tRNA) molecules are approximately 80 nucleotides in length. Their secondary structure includes four short double-helical elements and three loops (D, anti-codon, and T loops). The record is from Rfam by way of RNAcentral. Lineage: Eukaryota; Metazoa; Chordata; Mammalia; Carnivora; Mustelidae.